GGACUAGUUAUGUGGAGCUAACAGUGGGCGGUGGUGGUAUAGCACCGCCGCAUGGAACAACUAAGGGAGUAAAGAUUAGACAAUUAUACCCCUUCUUAGUUUGGACCAACGGGCGCUCUCAUCUUGUGCUCGGUGAGGGGCAGAAGGCGGAUUUUGCACUAGGCCCCCUCUGCAACCUCCAUCCUCAACAAUCGUGCUCAACUCUCCAAACUCUGUCCGGCAUGGCCUCUCGGCACCAGCAGCGGCCUACGGCUCAGCUCACUCACUAAGCACGAAAUUAUGUUAUUAGUUGUGCCAGGUUUCAAGGGGAUCCUACAUGAAUUCUCCCUCUGCGUAACAGCUACAUUUCCGACGCCUACUAUUCCCAUGUUAAAAUGGAGCUAGUAUUAUGUCGAGUACUCUAUAAACUCUUGCCCCUCGUUUUACCACUUUGUGGGUUGUGUAACAAGGAGAGGAUUUGGGCAGUGGCUCUGAUAUGGAGUAUAUAGCUUCAGGGGGUUUCGGCUAGCUUCAAAGGAUCUGAAAAAAAUGAUGAGAAAUAAGCACAGAUGGGAGAUAAAGGUGCAUGAUCUAAUCGCACCAACUGCAUAUUAAUCAGCUAGCUGAUGGAUAGAUGUAAAGACGAGACAAUAUUUCCACCGAUCUAAGUAGGUGGUACUAGAGCCUGAAAUCUGGGCAUCUAAUUAAAUGAAAAUUGAUCUUGA
Non-coding RNA from Oryza sativa Japonica Group (Japanese rice), 704 nucleotides. NCBI's taxonomy places the organism in Eukaryota, Viridiplantae, Streptophyta, Magnoliopsida, Poales, Poaceae. The record is from RefSeq and is a predicted model, not a curated record.